Apodemus sylvaticus (European woodmouse) is the source of this 1097-nucleotide long non-coding RNA. RefSeq lists it as uncharacterized. NCBI's taxonomy places the organism in Eukaryota, Metazoa, Chordata, Mammalia, Rodentia, Muridae. The record is from RefSeq and is a predicted model, not a curated record. The transcript has 4 exons.
UUUGCGCUCUGUGGCGCCUCGACAUUGCCUCCAGUAAUCUGGCGGUAGUUAGGAACUAGUCAGCGCGGCGAGGAGGGUGAAAGUUCAGCCCCAGGGCUGGGUGACGUCAGCGGAGGGGGCGGUACGCCUCGGCAUUUCGCGGCGGAGGGGAAAGUCCGGGCUGUUUCAGCCAAGGAAUGGGAGGCGCCCUAGCCUCCCCGCAGGCCACAGCGCUGGGAAUCCUGCCUUCCCUGCUAUCUCCCUGAGGCAAGGGGGUGCUGGCUUCUCCAAAACCAGUCUGGAAGAUUGAAGGUUAACACGGCGUGUUUCUUGGUCACUCUCCACCUUACAUUUUAAGACCUGGUGUGUCACUGAACCUGGAACUAACCGACUCUGCUAGACUGGUUCUGACAAUUGCUCUAGCACAGAUGAACCUUGAGGGCAUUAAGCCAAGUGAAAUAAGCCAGUGACAAAAAGACAAAUGUUCUGAUCACACUUAAACAAGGUAAGUAGAAUGGUCAAGCACAUAGAGACAGAAAGUAGAACGUUAGCAGCUAGGGGGUGUGGGGAGGGCAGAAUGGGGCUUUGUUGUUCAAUGGACGUAAAGGUUCAGUUUGCAAAAGGAAAGGGUGAGGCUGAGGGCACUGCUCUCUAGCAGAACACUCACCUGGCGUGUCUGAGACCUGAGUUUAAUGCCCAACAGCUCAUGCACACACACAUACACAGGAGAAAGAAGAAAAGGAAGCUACCUUUUACUACAAAUGUAUUUUAUUUUAUGUGUGUGUGCCUGAGUUGCAAGUGCCCACUGAGUGCAGAAGAAGGUGUUGGAUGUCUUGGAAUUGGAGUUAGCUGUGGUUGUGAACCACCUCAUGUGCUGAGAGCUGUACUUUGACCCUCUGCAAUAGGCCGUACUCUUAACUGCUAAGCCCUUUCUCCAGCCCUCUCACUAUAUGUGUUUUGAACCAUGUAAUAACGUCGUAAUGACUUUUGUUUAGACAGCUCACUAUCUUUUUAAGAUAUUUACACAAAUAAAAGAUAUUUUGAAAAUUCUCAUAGGGCUCGGGUGUGGCUCAGUUGUAGAACACUUGCCUACAUUAAGCCAUGGGUUUCAUCGUCAG